RNAcentral lists this transfer RNA (92 nucleotides) under Symmachiella macrocystis. RNAcentral describes it as "Planctomycetes bacterium CA54 tRNA-Ser". It matches the Rfam family "tRNA". From Rfam's summary of the family: Transfer RNA (tRNA) molecules are approximately 80 nucleotides in length. Their secondary structure includes four short double-helical elements and three loops (D, anti-codon, and T loops). Further hydrogen bonds mediate the characteristic L-shaped molecular structure. tRNAs have two regions of fundamental functional importance: the anti-codon, which is responsible for specific mRNA codon recognition, and the 3' end, to which the tRNAs corresponding amino acid is attached (by aminoacyl-tRNA synthetases). tRNAs cope with the degeneracy of the genetic code in two manners: having more than one tRNA (with a specific anti-codon) for a particular amino acid; and 'wobble' base-pairing, i.e. permitting non-standard base-pairing at the 3rd anti-codon position. The record is from RNAcentral. Lineage: Bacteria; Pseudomonadati; Planctomycetota; Planctomycetia; Planctomycetales; Planctomycetaceae.
GGAAGGUAGCCGGAUACGGUUGGCCGGGCCGGUUUGCUAAACCGGUUUCCUGAAUAUCAAAGGAAUGCGAGUUCGAAUCUCGCACCUUCCGC